GUGGGUGUAGUUCAAUAGUGGAGCACUUGCCUGGCAUGUAUGAGUCCCUGGGUUUGAUCCCCAGUACCACA
RNAcentral lists this transfer RNA (71 nucleotides) under Marmota marmota marmota (Alpine marmot). It matches the Rfam family "tRNA". From Rfam's summary of the family: Transfer RNA (tRNA) molecules are approximately 80 nucleotides in length. Their secondary structure includes four short double-helical elements and three loops (D, anti-codon, and T loops). Further hydrogen bonds mediate the characteristic L-shaped molecular structure. tRNAs have two regions of fundamental functional importance: the anti-codon, which is responsible for specific mRNA codon recognition, and the 3' end, to which the tRNAs corresponding amino acid is attached (by aminoacyl-tRNA synthetases). tRNAs cope with the degeneracy of the genetic code in two manners: having more than one tRNA (with a specific anti-codon) for a particular amino acid; and 'wobble' base-pairing, i.e. permitting non-standard base-pairing at the 3rd anti-codon position. Lineage: Eukaryota; Metazoa; Chordata; Mammalia; Rodentia; Sciuridae. RNAcentral also lists the same sequence under 4 other names. The record is from Rfam by way of RNAcentral.